This 430-nucleotide ribosomal RNA is filed under the name Acidobacteriota bacterium. Its description in RNAcentral is "Acidobacteria bacterium partial 16S ribosomal RNA". It matches the Rfam family "Bacterial small subunit ribosomal RNA", at positions 355 to 776 of the family's 1533-position model. The record is from RNAcentral. Lineage: Bacteria; Pseudomonadati; Acidobacteriota.
UGGGGAAUAUUGGCCAAUGGGCGCAAGCCUGAUCCAGCCAUGCCGCGCGUGUGAAGAAGGCCUUUUGGUUGUAAAGCACUUUAAGCGAGGAGGAGGCUACUUGGAUUAAUACUCUAGGAUAGUGGACGUUACUCGCAGAAUACGCACCGGCUAACUCUGUGCCAGCAGCCGCGGUAAUACAGAGGGUGCGAGCGUUAAUCGGAUUUACUGGGCGUAAAGCGUGCGUAGGCGGCUUCUUAAGUCGGAUGUGAAAUCCCUGAGCUUAACUUAGGAAUUGCAUUCGAUACUGGGAAGCUAGAGUAUGGGAGAGGAUGGUAGAAUUCCAGGUGUAGCGGUGAAAUGCGUAGAGAUCUGGAGGAAUACCGAUGGCGAAGGCAGCCAUCUGGCCUAAUACUGACGCUGAGGUACGAAAGCAUGGGGAGCAAACAGG